This 572-nucleotide long non-coding RNA is filed under the name Homo sapiens (human). RNAcentral's name for it is "non-protein coding lnc-BRINP1-2:2". Lineage: Eukaryota; Metazoa; Chordata; Mammalia; Primates; Hominidae. The record is from RNAcentral.
AAGCAUCCAUCAGCACUGGGGCAAUGACUGGGACCUGCAGAACCGCUACAAGCUCCUGCAGAGUGCCACGGAGGCACAGAGACAAAAGAUCCAACGCACUGCCCGCAAGCUUUUCGGCCUCAGUGUACGCUGUCGCCACAAUCCCAACCACCAGCUGCCUAGAGAGAGAGACGCACAGGCAGAGGCCCAAGCAGUAAAGAGACCUCACCGAGAUCAUGCAGUGAAUCAAUUGCAGAGACAAGGCAAGAUUGAAAACAUUUUGACUCCAAUUCCAAUGCUCUGCUGAAAGCCCAUGUAGAUAUUUAACAUCUUUUCUGCCUGGGCCAGAAUGUGCAGAAUUAUCUAGUGUGACAAAUCCUCUUUUCCUCCGUCCCCGUGCAAAGGGAAUUGCCAUCUUCUGUGAUCAUCAAGCUGGCAACAUCAAUCUGGAAGUUUGUUAAUGACACUGACCUAAAUCUGUCACAUUGCAAGAAACUCUUCACAGCAGCUGGGAUUUGCUGCCAUAUAACAGCUUUAUGGUAUGUGGAACUCUCUAAUAAGCUGAUUAAAAAAUAAAAUGUUUGAAGCCUUAA